Long non-coding RNA from Spea bombifrons (plains spadefoot toad), 773 nucleotides. RefSeq lists it as uncharacterized. Lineage: Eukaryota; Metazoa; Chordata; Amphibia; Anura; Pelobatidae. The record is from RefSeq and is a predicted model, not a curated record. The transcript is spliced from 2 exons.
CUCUAUAUAAUGAGCUCUAAUUCUCUAUCCAAGCAUAAUCCCAGCAAUAAUAAUAAGCACAUCAGGACAAUUUGUUUACUGUGGCAUGGCACAGAUUGGAGAAGAAGCUCCAUCCCCACUACUCGGAAGGUACAGGGUCCCUGGAAUGGGUACAAGACACACUUAUCUUGAUGGGUCUACCUGGGAAGGCGAAAUAAAACUGUGAAUUUGUAUAACCCCACAACCAAACGACUGAGGCAUUAGCUGGAUUCCCUGGGGGUGAUUGGAGGCAAUGCACAGAAACUCGACAGCCACGUCCUGGAUGUUAAAAAUUCACUUUGGCUCAGCCUGACAUCACUAAGUUCGAUCUCCAAUUGUAUUUGAAAGCGCAGUGAGCGUAAAAAUCUCCCAUCAUUAAGCUCCUCUCUCCUUUAACAAAAUAACAAGAUCUUUCAUUUGCACAAAACAACUCCUAACAAUCCUGACUCCAAUACAUAUUUAAUAGAAAUCUGAUGUAUAAUUCAAAUCCAGAAAAGAAAAAAAGAUUUCCAAUGACCAACCUCUCCCUGUCCACCCAUGUGAUCAAAAUGACUUUUUCCCCCUAAAAAUCUUGAAUCAGAUACGAAUUCUAACAAGGGGAUUUUCACUUAUGCCUUGACCCCUGUAAUUGGAUUAAAUAUAGGCUGAAACUUCCAAAAACAGCCCAAGAUUGACACCUGCCAAGUGGACUCCCUUCUGAUUGAUUGUGAUGAUUCGUGCUGGCUGCAAUAAUGCAAUAAAUUGUAUGGAUAAAA